Long non-coding RNA from Oncorhynchus kisutch (coho salmon), 2074 nucleotides. RefSeq lists it as uncharacterized. The transcript has 3 exons. The record is from RefSeq and is a predicted model, not a curated record. NCBI's taxonomy places the organism in Eukaryota, Metazoa, Chordata, Actinopteri, Salmoniformes, Salmonidae.
UUUGCCAUUCAUAUCUGGAAUUUGAACACACCUCAAAUCAGCUCUAUGGAACACCAUUGCCAGCUAACAAUUGUUUGAAAUUGCUAACUAUUUAUUUGUAGCUGACAGUGUAAAAGUGCUCCUCUUUCUCCGGAUGAACAGAACCUGCAGAACUUACCAGUGAUUCACAUUUAUCAGGAGACCAUCAUCACCACCAUGGCAAUGUUGACCAUAUCUCUGCUGCUCUGUGCUGCCGUUGCUCUGAAUGGUGCAACAGGUGCUGAGGCCCUACCCGAGGCCCUACCCGAGGCCCUACCCGAGGCCCUACCGACAUCCCAGAAAGCACAGUCGAAAGUUCCAUAUGUUCAGCAAGUAAAGCAUCUUAACGCGCAAUUACCGCUGCAAGCUCCUUGUAGUUGCCCUUGUGUCAUAUCCUCUAGUAGCCAAUUCUGGCCUGACCCAAAAUGCAGUGGUGUUGAUAUGCCGCUUGACAACAUCCCUGUUUCUUCUUACUUUCCCGUUGUGUUGCGAGGUUUGAAUACGCAGACCUUCGUCAUAAUUGAUUCAGCUUUUUCCCAACUUAGAUCUGAUGUGGGCAUUUAUAUGCUCCAUGAUUUUGUUUUGGCAUUUAGUUGAACGAUCAAUGUACUUCAGGUCACUGUACCCCCCUUUUGCCCAAGUUUCAGACUUUCCAAAAAGCAGGCAAGUCCUGCAAUGCAAGGCUCCCUGUUAACCAGCUAUACAUUUAAUUCCAGUUGGUUGAAAUAAAUUGCACUAACUGGACACAAAAAUAAAGUUCUAAAACCAAGAAAACAAUUUAUAAUCUACCUCUUCCAUCUCCUGUAUUCGGCACAACCCGAAUACAACACACUAGGUUCAUUCUCUAAUUCUAAUCCUAUGAUUGGAUGAACCGCAUGUCUGUUCAUACUGCCAAAGCUUUGACUGGAUGGAGGUCGUCCUCCGGAAGUGGUCAUAAUUACCAUGUAUAUCUAUUGAAGGGGUUGAGGCCUACGAGCCUCCUAGGUUUUGUAUUGAAGUCAAUGUACCCAGAGGAGGACAGAAGAUAGCUGUCCUCCGGCUACACCAUGGUGCUACCCCAGCGAGUACUGUUGCUAUAGACCUUCAUUGCAAAACUAUUUGUUUUAAUCAAUUAUUUGCUGAGAAAUGAAUGUAUUUAGUAUAGUUUAAUCUAAAAAGGAUCACUUUUUUAUUGUUUCACUAUUUUUAUUUUUAUUAAAUUUUACUGAGGAGGAUGGUACUCUCAUUCUUCUUCUGCGGAGCCUCCACUGGACUGGGCAGUAGUCCAGGUGUGACAAAACUAGGGCCUGUAGGACUUGUUUUGUUGAUAGCCUUGUCAAGAAAGCAGAGCAGCGCUUUAUUACGGACAGACCCCUGCCCAUCUUAGCUACCUUUGCAUCAAUACGUUUUGACCAGACAGUUUACAAUCCAAGGUUACACCGAGCAGUUUAGUCUCCUCAGCUUGCUCAAUUUCCUUGAUGGAGGUGGGGUGAUAGAAACAGGCUGAUAUGCCCAUAAACGAAGCAGUCAGUCCUUUCUUGCUCCAUCCGUCUAUCCACAUGGUUAUUUUUCAUGCCUCUUUCAAAAUCUCCUUAACGUUCUGGGUUGCUGUAUAGUUUUGCGAAGCAAUCAAGCCGUUCGCUCUAACAGCAGCAGGAGUUUGACAUUUGGUAUCAAGUGUUCAGUUGAAUUUUCUGAAGGCUGGCUCAUCGCAGUCUCGUGGAAUUUUCAGACUGGACGAAUUAAUUAACCAGUGCUUCUUCUCUUUUUUUGAAACUCAUUUGAGGUUGCUAUGGUUGCUAUGUUUCUGCUCUUUUCAUGCAAACUGCUGAAGUUGGUUGUCCUGACGUGCAGCUACUGGUUAACGUGCAGCUACUAAUAGCUAGCUGGUGGCUAUCUCACCUGGUAUUUAUACUGAAAUUGUUUGUAUGAUUCUUUGAACAAACUCUGAGAUCCUAGACUGUACCUUUAAGAAUCCUGUUACAAUUAUGGCAGUAUCAUUCAUGUUUAAUAAUGAUUCUGAAGAGGAAACACAAUGUCUACUCCCGUUUUAUUGACAAUAAACAACAAAACAAGU